Molecule: ribosomal RNA, 429 nt
Filed under: Acidobacteriota bacterium
Lineage: Bacteria; Pseudomonadati; Acidobacteriota
Description: Acidobacteria bacterium partial 16S ribosomal RNA
Rfam family: Bacterial small subunit ribosomal RNA
Source: RNAcentral
UGGGGAAUUUUGGACAAUGGGGGAAACCCUGAUCCAGCCAUCCCGCGUGUGCGAUGAAGGCCUUCGGGUUGUAAAGCACUUUUGGCAGGAAAGAAACGUCAUGGGUUAAUACCCCGUGAAACUGACGGUACCUGCAGAAUAAGCACCGGCUAACUACGUGCCAGCAGCCGCGGUAAUACGUAGGGUGCAAGCGUUAAUCGGAAUUACUGGGCGUAAAGCGUGCGCAGGCGGUUCGGAAAGAAAGAUGUGAAAUCCCAGAGCUCAACUUUGGAACUGUAUUUUUAACUACCGGGCUAGAGUGUGUCAGAGGGAGGUGGAAUUCCGCGUGUAGCAGUGAAAUGCGUAGAUAUGCGGAGGAACACCGAUGGCGAAGGCAGCCUCCUGGGAUAACACUGACGCUCAUGCACGAAAGCGUGGGGAGCAAACAGG